RNAcentral lists this long non-coding RNA (440 nucleotides) under Elaeis guineensis (African oil palm). Its description in RNAcentral is "long non-coding RNA (EGUI_LNC049542)". The record is from RNAcentral. Lineage: Eukaryota; Viridiplantae; Streptophyta; Magnoliopsida; Arecales; Arecaceae.
AUUUUUUUAGAAUUUAUUCAUAUUUUUUCUGAAAUUUUGUGAAUCAUGAGUCGACCCCCUAGGGUCGACCCAAUGGCAUACUUGAAAUUUUCGGCCAACAUCCCACGGGUUCAUUUCUUUUUAACUAAAAGCCCGUUCAUGAGCCGAUCCCUCCUUCUUCAUCUUCCUCCCUCCAAAACUCGCGGUCCUCAUCUUCGUUCUCUCCAAAUCCAAAGUUUUAGCCCAAGAUCCUUCUCCCAUUACCUCUCCACCUCAAAUCACCCCUUGGGAAAGGAGCUUUUCGCCUUUUUUCUUCCUUGAUUGAAGCGGUUGGAGCGUGCCCUAGCUUCCACCAUUCUUCUCCAAAUUGGGAUUUCUCUCCUCUAAAAAUUCCUUUCCAUCCCCUAAUAACCCUCCUUCUCCUCACCCAUUUGAUCUUCCAAGUCUCCUUGCUUGCUCUU